AUGCACCUAUCCUCAAGUGAGGUCACAGCUCCACCCAUGAGAGCCAGCUCGUGUUUUGAUCCAGCCCAGCUGCCUGAGGACAGGCCCAGGUGCUGGCCUCACAGGUUUUGGUUUGAGUCUCAGUCACUGUGGUAUGUUUUCGGCGGCGGAACCCAGCUCAGCGUCCUAGGUGGACCCAAGUCUUCUCCCAAAGUCACAGUGUUUCCGCCUUCACCUGAGGAGCUCCAGACAAACAAAGCCACACUGGUGUGUCUGGUCAAUGACUUCUACCCGGGUUCUGCAACAGUGACCUGGAAGGCAAAUGGAGCAACUAUCAAUGAUGGGGUGGAGACUACAAAGCCUUCCAAACAGGGCCAAAAGUACAUGACCAGCAGCUACCUAAGUUUGACAGCAGACCAGUGGAAAUCUUACAACAGGGUUUCCUGCCAAGUUACCCAUGAAGGGGAAACUGUGGAGAAGAGCUUGUCCCCUGCAGAAUGUCCCUAG
Cricetulus griseus (Chinese hamster) is the source of this 486-nucleotide non-coding RNA. Lineage: Eukaryota; Metazoa; Chordata; Mammalia; Rodentia; Cricetidae. The record is from the annotation of a RefSeq genome assembly.